CCUACGGGUGGCAGCAGUGAGGCAUAUUGGUCAAUGGCCGGAAGGCUGAACCAGCCAUGCCGCGUGAAGGUCAGUGCCCUAUGGGCGUUAAACUUCUUUUGUGCGGGAGCAAUAAUGGUCACGUGUGGCCAGACGAGAGUACCGUACGAAUAAGCAUCGGCUAACUCCGUGCCCGCAGCCGCGGUAAUACGGGGGAUGCAAGCGUUAUCCGGAUUUAUUGGGUUUAAAGGGUGCGUAGGCUGUGAGGUAAGUCAGCGGUGAAAUGCCCCCGCUCAACGGGGUGAAGUGCCAUUGAUACUGCCUGGCUGGAAUGCGGAUGCCGUGGGAGGAAUGUGUGGUGUAGCGGUGAAAUGCAUAGAUAUCACACAGAACACCGAUUGCGAAGGCAUCUCACGAAUCCGCGAUUGACGCUGAUGCACGAAAGCGUGGGUAUCAAACAGGAUUAGAUACCCCUGUAGUC
RNAcentral lists this ribosomal RNA (460 nucleotides) under uncultured bacterium. RNAcentral describes it as "partial 16S ribosomal RNA". It matches the Rfam family "Bacterial small subunit ribosomal RNA", at positions 338 to 795 of the family's 1533-position model. The record is from RNAcentral.